UAAUACUCCAUAGAUUAGAGACACUGGAAUGUUCUUUAGUCGAAAGUUCUGGCGCCUUAGGAUGGAUCUGCGGUCGAUUAGGUUGUUGUUGGGGUAACGGCCCAACAAGCCUGUAAUCGAUACGGGUUGUGGGAGCAAGAGCCCGGAGAUGGAAUCUGAAACACGAUUCCAGGCCCUACGGGGCGCAGCAGGCGCGAAAACUUUACAAUGCAGGAAACUGUGAUAAGGGAACUCCGAGUGCCCGUAUACGCGGGCUGUCCAGGUGUUUAAAAAUCAUCUGAAGAAAGGGCCGGGCAAGACCGGUGCCAGCCGCCGCGGUAAUACCGGCGGCUCGAGUGGUGGCCACUAUUAUUGGGCUUAAAGCGUCCGUAGCUGGACCGAUAAGUCUCUUGGGAAAUCCGCCGGCUCAACCGGCGGGCGUCUAAGGGAUACUGUUAGUCUAGGGACCGGGAGAGGUGAGAGGUACUCCGGGGGUAGGAGUGAAAUCCUGUAAUCCCCGGGGGACCACCGAUGGCGAAGGCAUCUCACCAGAACGGCUCCGACAGUGAGGGACGAAAGCUGGGGGAGCGAACCGGAUUAGAUACCCGGGUAGUCCCAGCCGUAAACUAUGCGCGUUAGGUGU
This 622-nucleotide ribosomal RNA is filed under the name uncultured archaeon. RNAcentral describes it as "bacterial SSU rRNA". It matches the Rfam family "Archaeal small subunit ribosomal RNA", at positions 147 to 774 of the family's 1478-position model. The record is from RNAcentral.